CAGCCGCCGCGGUAAUACGUAGGGUGCAAGCGUUAAUCGGAAUUACUGGGCGUAAAGCGUGCGUAGGCGGUGAGUUAAGUCUGCUGUGAAAUCCCCGGGCUCAACCUGGGAAUGGCAGUGGAUACUGGCUCGCUAGAGUGUGUCAGAGGAUGGUGGAAUUCCCGGUGUAGCGGUGAAAUGCGUAGAGAUCGGGAGGAACACCAGUGGCGAAGGCGGCCAUCUGGGACAACACUGACGCUGAGGCACGAAAGCGUGGGGAGCAAACAGGAUUAGAUACCCGGGUAGUCCCUGUCUCUUAUAC
This 301-nucleotide ribosomal RNA is filed under the name uncultured bacterium. Its description in RNAcentral is "partial 16S ribosomal RNA". It matches the Rfam family "Bacterial small subunit ribosomal RNA", at positions 509 to 807 of the family's 1533-position model. The record is from RNAcentral.